RNAcentral lists this ribosomal RNA (253 nucleotides) under uncultured bacterium. RNAcentral describes it as "partial 16S ribosomal RNA". It matches the Rfam family "Bacterial small subunit ribosomal RNA", at positions 524 to 776 of the family's 1533-position model. The record is from RNAcentral.
UACGGAGGGUGCGAGCGUUAAUCGGAAUCACUGGGCGUAAAGCGCACGUAGGCGGCUUGGUAAGUCAGAUGUGAAAGCCCCGGGCUCAACCUUGGAAUUGCAUUUGAUACUGCUUGGCUCGAGUCUGAUAGAGGGGGGUGGAAUUCCAGGUGUAGCGGUGAAAUGCGUAGAUAUCGGGAGGAACAACAGUGGCGAAGGCGGCCCUCUGGAUCAGUACUGACGCUGAGGCGCGAAAGCUAGGGGAGCAAACGGG